Molecule: ribosomal RNA, 316 nt
Filed under: uncultured bacterium
Lineage: Bacteria
Description: bacterial SSU rRNA
Rfam family: Bacterial small subunit ribosomal RNA
Source: RNAcentral
AGGCUAAUACCGCAUAAUACCCACGGGUCAAAGGAGCAAUUCGCUUGAGGAGGAGGUCGCGGCCGAUUAGUUAGUUGGCGGGGUAAUGGCCCCACCAAGACGGUGAUCGGUAUCCGGCCUGAGAGGGCGCACGGACACACUGGAACUGAAACACGGUCCAGACUCCUACGGGAGGCAGCAGUGGGGAAUUUUGCGCAAUGGGGGAAACCCUGACGCAGCAACGCCGCGUGGAGGAUGAAGUCUCUUGGGACGUAAACUCCUUUCGAUCGGGACGAUUAUGACGGUACCGGAAGAAGAAGCCCCGGCUAACUUCGUG